CCUACGGGUGGCAGCAGUGAGGAAUAUUGGUCAAUGGACGAGAGUCUGAACCAGCCAAGUAGCGUGAAGGAUGACUGCCCUAUGGGUUGUAAGCUUCUUUUAUAAAGGAAUAAAACGAGGCACGUGUGCCUUUUUGCAUGUACUUUAUGAAUAAGGAUCGGCUAACUACAUGCCAGCAGCCGCGGUAAUACGGAGGAUCCGAGCGUUAUCCGGAUUUAGUGGGUUUAAAGGGAGCGUAGAUGGGUUGUUAAGUCAGUUGUGAAAGUUUGCGGCUCAACCGUAAAAUUGCAAUUGAUACUGGCAGUCUUGAGUACAGGUGAGGUAGGCGGAAUUCGUGGUGUAGCGGUGAAAUGCUUAGAUAUCACGAAGAACCCCGAUUGCGAAGGCAGCUUACUAAACUGUGACUGAUAUUGAUGCUCGAAAGUGUGGGUAUCAAACAGGAUUAGAUACCCCUGUAGUC
Molecule: ribosomal RNA, 460 nt
Filed under: uncultured bacterium
Lineage: Bacteria
Description: partial 16S ribosomal RNA
Rfam family: Bacterial small subunit ribosomal RNA
Source: RNAcentral